UUUUGAUGCAUCUCAAUAUAACUCCCCCUGCAAAACUGCUGUUGGGAGCCUGGGUGAUUUUGUUUUCGAGUCUGAACAGCUGCUUGUGUUUCCCAGGAGAAACCAGUGGAGCUGGCCCAGAGUUUCCUGGCGAAGUGGUCGUCCCUCGGUGGAGAGCAGUGGGAAGCCCCGGCGGCACUGAGCAUCCGUUCAAAGCUGAAGUCAAGAUCACAGCAGAGGGAAAGGAGCUCAUCCUGGAUGUUGAGAAGAAUGAAUAACCGUCCAGCAGAGCAUUACAGAGUGAAGCCUCAUCUGAGGUCCAUAGCAAAGGAAGGGACAGGAGCUCUGCUCCCCUAAUGACCAGUCCUAUGUUUU
This 354-nucleotide long non-coding RNA is filed under the name Crocodylus porosus (Australian saltwater crocodile). RNAcentral describes it as "lncRNA (ENSCPRG00005013340.1)". Lineage: Eukaryota; Metazoa; Chordata; Crocodylia; Crocodylidae. The record is from RNAcentral.